UCCAAGGUUAGAUUGCUAAAUGUUCUGUCA
This 30-nucleotide non-coding RNA is filed under the name Rattus norvegicus (Norway rat). Lineage: Eukaryota; Metazoa; Chordata; Mammalia; Rodentia; Muridae. The record is from RNAcentral.